This is a non-coding RNA of Datura stramonium (jimsonweed), 76 nucleotides long. NCBI's taxonomy places the organism in Eukaryota, Viridiplantae, Streptophyta, Magnoliopsida, Solanales, Solanaceae. The record is from the annotation of a GenBank genome assembly.
UGUGUCGUGGUGUAGUUGGUUAUCACGUCUAUCUAAUUUAUUGAAGGUCUCUUCGGUUUGAGUCCGGGCGACGCCA